UCAAACAUACGGAAAACACUGUGAAAAUAAUUGUUCUGAAACUUGUGUUGGAGGAUGCAACAUCAGCACGGGCCAUUGUGAAAAGUGCAGCUCAAACCAGUUUGGUUUCUUUUGCAACGAGACGUGUGGACAGUGUAGGGAAAGACCAAAUGAGGACAGUUGUGAUGACGUCAAUGGCAUCUGUGUCCAUGGAUGUGAAAAAGGAUUUACAGGGAGUUUAUGUAAUGAAGGAUGUAAUGGAACAUCAUUUGGAUAUAACUGCAAUCAAUCCUGCAGUGAAACUUGUAAACCGAUCCCUGAUUCCCGACUAUGUAAUAGUUCAACAGGUCAUUGUACAAGUUGUGUGGUUGGAAAGAA
Molecule: long non-coding RNA, 357 nt
Organism: Saccostrea echinata
Lineage: Eukaryota; Metazoa; Mollusca; Bivalvia; Ostreida; Ostreidae
Exons: 3
Source: RefSeq, a predicted model, not a curated record